Molecule: ribosomal RNA, 512 nt
Filed under: uncultured bacterium
Lineage: Bacteria
Description: partial 16S ribosomal RNA
Rfam family: Bacterial small subunit ribosomal RNA
Source: RNAcentral
GAUGAACGCUGGCGGCGUGCCUAAUACAUGCAAGUCGAACGAAACUUCUUUAUCACCGAGUGCUUGCACUCACCGAUAAAGAGUUGAGUGGCGAACGGGUGAGUAACACGUGGGCAACCUGCCCAAAAGAGGGGGAUAACACUUGGAAACAGGUGCUAAUACCGCAUAACCAUAGUUACCGCAUGGUAACUAUGUAAAAGGUGGCUAUACUACCGCUUUUGGAUGGGCCCGCGGCGCAUUAGCUAGUUGGUAGGGUAAAGGCUUACCAAGGCAAUGAUGCGUAGCCGAAUUGAGAGGUUGAUCGGCCACAUUGGGACUGAGACACGGCCCAAACUCCUACGGGAGGCAGCAGUAGGGAAUCUUCCACAAUGGGCGAAAGCCUGAUGGAGCAACGCCGCGUGGGUGAAGAAGGUCUUCGGAUCGUAAAACCCUGUUGUUAGAGAAGAAAGUGAGUGAGAGUAACUGUUCACGUUUCGACGGUAUCUAACCGGAAAGCCACGGCUAACUACGUG